CCAAUAGCGUAUAUUAAAGUUGUUGCAGUUAAAAAGCUCGUAGUUGAAUUUCGGGAUCAAUAGGUCGGUCAUGCCGUCGGUAUGUACUGGCCUUAUUGGUUCUUACCUUCUAAUGAACCGCAAUGUCAUUAAUUUGAUGCUACGGGGAAUCAGGACGGUUACUUUGAAAAAAUUAACGUGUUUAAAGCAGGCUCACGCUUGAAUACAUUAGCAUGGAAUAAUGAAAUAGGACGUUUGAUCCUAUUUUGUUGGUUUCUAGGAUCGACGUAAUGAUUAAUAGGGAUAGUUGGGGGCAUUAGUAUUCAAUUGUCAGAGGUGAAAUUCUUGGAUUUAUUGAAGACUAACUACUGCGAAAGCAUUUGCCAAGGAUGUUUUCAUUAAUCAAGAACGAAAGUUAGGGGAUCGAAGACGAUCAGAUACCGUCGUAGUCUUAACCAUAAACUAUGCCGACUAGGGAUCGGAUGAUGUUAAUUUUUUAAUGACUCAUUCGGCGCCUUACG
RNAcentral lists this ribosomal RNA (500 nucleotides) under uncultured Glomeromycotina. RNAcentral describes it as "partial small subunit ribosomal RNA". It matches the Rfam family "Eukaryotic small subunit ribosomal RNA", at positions 591 to 1092 of the family's 1831-position model. The record is from RNAcentral. Lineage: Eukaryota; Fungi; Glomeromycota.